GUACCUGAGUGAGCAAAUGUGGAGGUGGAGGUAGUGGUAGGACCCUCAAGCUGAGCCAUUAGAUGCUGGAUACUCUCAAGCUCUUCUUUGGAGAUUGUAACCAACUCCCUAGAAUGAGGCAGAGGCUGGGGUGUGAAAGUACCAGUAGAGGCUGAACCUGAUGAGGAGACUCUAUGGGCUGCAGGUAGGCCAUGACGACUACUAGAUUUCAUAGAAUUUUGAAACUUUGAAGGUCGAGGUAAAAGGCUCCCUACAAGUCUCCUUUGUAUGAAGAGAGCAACCACAAUGUUCACACUUCAACUUGUCUUUAUCUUUUGUCAAGAUACUCCCUUUGCCUAUCAUUUUGCUACCCCCUUGACUGCCUUUUUGAGACAUCGAGGCAAGGGC
This 387-nucleotide long non-coding RNA is filed under the name Amborella trichopoda. RNAcentral's name for it is "long non-coding RNA (ATRI_LNC003913)". The record is from RNAcentral. Lineage: Eukaryota; Viridiplantae; Streptophyta; Magnoliopsida; Amborellales; Amborellaceae.